CCCCUCUCAGGAUCACACCUGGAGAGUUUCCAGUAUUCUACCAGUCUCCAUUACAGGAGGGAGAGUCAAGCAGAGGCCUACCCAUUCAUUUCUAGCUUGGCCAGUGGCUAGUGAGUGGAAGGCUAUCUGUUACAGGU
This is a small nucleolar RNA of Tachyglossus aculeatus (Australian echidna), 137 nucleotides long. Lineage: Eukaryota; Metazoa; Chordata; Mammalia; Monotremata; Tachyglossidae. The record is from RefSeq and is a predicted model, not a curated record.